AUGUAUUCCCUUCUUCCCCCCAGAAAGAAAAAAAGGAUGAAAUGUUUGACGUUUACAUGGAGCAAGAUGUCAGGGCCCUUUCCCACCCACAUGGAAGAGGCUUUUUGCCACGUUUUCAGGUUGGUUAAAUGCAAAGGAAGCCGCUGCUGCUUGACUGCUCACCUAUCCAGGGAGAAGGUGGACAGUAAGCAGUGCAUCUCCCAUCAUGACUGGGCACAGCCAGAUACCUUAUCUGUGCUCUUAUGGACCUUGAAGGACAAUUCUACCUGCUGCUUGUUUGAGCUGGAAAUUGGACUUGGUGCAGAAAGGUUUGGAUGAGGGUUUCUGACCUGUGUGAUACAGGAGCUGAGGCUCUGAAAUCAUUUACUCUUUCAUGGAACCUCAUUUUGGGGCAGAGACAUUGCUUACAGUUGACUACAAGAGUGUGGAUGAGAAAACUCAAGUUUCCUUGCAAUUUGAUGAAUAGAGGUUAAAUGUAGUGAGAGUAUUAAUGCUCUCUGGAGUACCCAUCCUUUAAGCCAUGCUGUUUCCACCGUGAGGAACUUGUGGCAAUAUUUUGGAAGGGAUGGAAUUUGAGGGCUGGUGGGAAUGAAGUGCUUUAUCUCCUAAAACCAGUGUUGAACAAGAUGCUGUUUCACUCUUGCUAGCUGUGCUGAUCCACUCCAGGUGCAGGGGCCUUUACAUAGGUUCUCUACCAAUAGCUCUGUGCAAAGAGUUUAUUUGGUUUUUUUUAAGCUCUACAGCACAUGAGGGCUAAUUGUUUGGUAAAACAUGCCAUUUAGUUCCAUGGCUUAUAAAAAUCCCUCCUGAAAACUCUUUCCCCAGCAGGAGUCAAUUUAAGAACAGCUAAUGGGGCCAUCUCUGUCUUCCUAAGCGAGCAUGCCUUUGUGUAUAGUGUCUUUCCAAACCAAGCCUGUGUGUUUCUUUCCUUCGGGGUCAUUCCAUGACUUUCUAAAGCGCUAGAGGUAAGAACUGGAAUGGAAAUGGAAGAAAUUGUACAACUGAUGAUAACCUGUGUUAUUCUUUCAAUCCUAUCUCAGGAAAACACAAUGAAAUUUUUCUUUUGUUUGGCUUUUGAGAAAGACAGAUACCCCUAUCAAAUCAAAAAGAAGUUGGUUAGUAGUGAACUUCCCUCUUGUGGGUUUGGGUUACUCUUAUCAAGUCAUUUUUAUCAACUUCUUUGUUCAAGGAAUAGCUUGAAAAUGAAACAGCAUUUGUAUUUGUAUUUGACCUGGAGUUUUCUUGAUAGUCCUUAGCACUGUGGGGUAAAUACUUCGUGUAAAUGUUAUGGAUGCAUUGAUAAACUUAAGGCAUGUGA
Molecule: long non-coding RNA, 1318 nt
Filed under: Apteryx owenii (little spotted kiwi)
Lineage: Eukaryota; Metazoa; Chordata; Aves; Apterygiformes; Apterygidae
Description: lncRNA (ENSAOWG00000018684.1)
Source: RNAcentral